UACGUAGGGUGCAAGCGUUGUCCGGAAUUAUUGGGCGUAAAGAGCUUGUAGGCGGUUUGUCGCGUCUGCUGUGAAAUCCCCGGGCUCAACCUGGGAAUGGCAUUUGGGACUGCAAGGCUGGAGUGUGGCAGAGGAGACUGGAAUUCCUGGUGUAGCAGUGAAAUGCGUAGAUAUCAGGAGGAAUACCGAUGGCGAAGGCAGGUCUCUGGGCUGACACUGACGCUCAUGCACGAAAGCGUGGGGAGCAAACAGG
This 253-nucleotide ribosomal RNA is filed under the name uncultured bacterium. RNAcentral's name for it is "partial 16S ribosomal RNA". It matches the Rfam family "Bacterial small subunit ribosomal RNA", at positions 524 to 776 of the family's 1533-position model. The record is from RNAcentral.